AGGGUGAACGCUGGCGGCGUGCCUAAUACAUGCAAGUCGAGCGCGAUCUUCGGAUCGAGCGGCGAACGGGUGAGUAACACGUUGGAACCUGCCCCAAAGUGGGGAAUAGCUCCGGGAAACCGGGAUUAAUACCCCAUGUGCUCUUUGGAGUAAAGCUUUAUGUGCUUUGGGAGGGUCCUGCGUCCGAUUAGCUAGUUGGUAGGGUAAAGGCCUACCAAGGCGACGAUCGGUAGCUGGUCUGAGAGGAUGAUCAGCCACAUUGGGACUGAGACACGGCCCAAACUUCUACGGAAGGCAGCAGUAGGGAAUUUUCCACAAUGGGCGCAAGCCUGAUGGAGCAACGCCGCGUGCAGGAUGACGGCCUUCGGGUUGUAAACUGCUUUUAUACGGGAAGAUUAUGACGGUACCGUAUGAAUAAGGAUUGGCUAAUUCCGUGCCAGCAGCCGC
Molecule: ribosomal RNA, 447 nt
Filed under: uncultured bacterium
Lineage: Bacteria
Description: SSU rRNA
Rfam family: Bacterial small subunit ribosomal RNA
Source: RNAcentral